CAUAGCGACUAUCGUGGCAUAUCAAUAAGCGGAGGAAAAGAAACUAACAAGGAUUCCCUUAGUAACGGCGAGUGAAGCGGGAAGAGCUCAAAUUUGAAAUCUUCAAGGUUUUACCUUGACGAAUUGUAGUUUAAAGAAGUGUUUUCUGUUGGAGUUUUGGCAAAAGUUCUUUGGAAUAGGACAUCAUAGAGGGUGAGAAUCCCGUAUUUGACCAUUAUUUCCAGCUGUGUGAUACACUUUCAAAGAGUCGGAUUGUUUGGGAAUGCGGUCCAAAAUGGGUGGUAAAUUUCAUCUAAAGCUAAAUAUUGGCGAGAGACCGAUAGCGAACAAGUACCGUGAGGGAAAGAUGAAAAGAACUUUGAAAAGAGAGUUAAACAGUACGUGAAAUUGUCAAAAGGGAAGCGUUUGACACCAGUGUUGUUUUUCCGAAAAUCAAUUACGAAUGUUUUAUUUUUGAGGAAGUUAUGACUUCAUCGGCUUGCUCUCUUCUUUAUGAAACUUUCUUAAUGCACUUUUCGGUUAACAAGUCAACAUCAAUUUCUUUUGUUGUAAAAGGGUAUGAGGAAGGUGGCUUUCUUUUCGGAGAAAGUGUUUAUAGCCUUGUACCUCUGCAAUCGGAGAGAUUGAGGUCUGCAGCGUAGAUCCUUCGGGGUUAGAUACAUUUGUGCUAAGUUAUAGCUUUUCAUAGACAACUUGUUGACUAUGUUUAGUCUUGUAGCUUACUCGCUUAUGCUAUUUUACCUACGCUUAGGAUGUUGAUAUGCAUGACUGAUAU
Molecule: ribosomal RNA, 775 nt
Filed under: uncultured Neocallimastigales
Lineage: Eukaryota; Fungi; Neocallimastigomycota; Neocallimastigomycetes; Neocallimastigales
Description: partial large subunit ribosomal RNA
Rfam family: Eukaryotic large subunit ribosomal RNA
Source: RNAcentral